UGGGGAGAAUCCAUGUUGUGCUGAAGAAGGGCGAAAGUACACUUUUGGCUCAACACGGCAUGGAUCAGCACGGCCCAAAUCCAAGUUGUGUUGAGUCCCAAAACCUAAAUUAAAAGAAAAGAAAAGGAAAGAGAACAUGGCCGCACAGAGAGAAAAAAGAGCAAAAGUUUGAAGUAUCCAAGACAAACCCUAGAGCUAACUUCCAAAC
This 208-nucleotide long non-coding RNA is filed under the name Ricinus communis (castor bean). RNAcentral describes it as "long non-coding RNA (RCOM_LNC001369)". The record is from RNAcentral. Lineage: Eukaryota; Viridiplantae; Streptophyta; Magnoliopsida; Malpighiales; Euphorbiaceae.